UUCGGAUUGCAGGCUGCAACCCGCCUGUAUGAAGUUGGAAUCGCUAGUAAUCGCGGAUCAGCAUGCCGCGGUGAAUACGUUCCCGGGCCUUGUACACACCGCCCGUCACACCAUGAGAGUCGGGAACACCCGAAGUCCGUAGCCUAACCGCAAGGGGGCGCGGCCGAAGGUGGGUUCGAUAAUUGGGGUGAAGUCGUAACAAGGUAUC
Molecule: ribosomal RNA, 208 nt
Filed under: uncultured bacterium
Lineage: Bacteria
Description: partial 16S ribosomal RNA
Rfam family: Bacterial small subunit ribosomal RNA
Source: RNAcentral